CAAUAGCGUAUAUUAAAGUUGUUGCAGUUAAAAAGCUCGUAGUUGGAUUUCUGGUCGGAAGCUCCUGUCCUCUGAUGAGCGUACAAGUGCGUCCUACCAUCCUUCUGUUAACCUUUAAGGCUUUCGCGGCUUUCUAGGGGCUCAGAUAUUUUACCUUGAGAAAAUUAGGGUGUUUCAGGCAGGCUAGCGCCGGAAUACAUUAGCAUGGAAUAAUGGAAUAGGACUUUUGCCUCUUCUGUUGGUCAUGAGGCUCGAGUAAUGAUUAAUAGGGAUAGUUGGGGGCAUUAGUACUUAACUGUCAGAGGUGAAAUUCUCGGAUUUGUUAAAGACUAACUUAUGCGAAAGCAUUUGCCAAGGAUGUUUUCAUUGA
This 370-nucleotide ribosomal RNA is filed under the name uncultured eukaryote. Its description in RNAcentral is "partial 18S ribosomal RNA". It matches the Rfam family "Eukaryotic small subunit ribosomal RNA", at positions 592 to 976 of the family's 1831-position model. The record is from RNAcentral.